RNAcentral lists this long non-coding RNA (1162 nucleotides) under Trifolium pratense (red clover). Its description in RNAcentral is "long non-coding RNA (TPRA_LNC002064)". The record is from RNAcentral. Lineage: Eukaryota; Viridiplantae; Streptophyta; Magnoliopsida; Fabales; Fabaceae.
CCCCUUUUCAGAGACUGAAAAGAAGAGCGUCACAGUUCUCUACCCAAAUUUAAAUGCUUAAAUACAAGCAAAUAAAAUUAUGCUGGUUUAUUUUUGGUAAAAGAAAAGUAAUAGUGAGAAAUGUUCUCGAAUAUAAGUACUAUUAUUUUUAUUUAAGAAAGUUUUCAAAAUUCUCUUUAUAUAAAUUUAAAGUAAGCCCAUAAAUAAUAUGCAACACUUAUAUCAAACAAUCAUCUAGUAAUUUUACUCAAAGGAUUUUCAAAUAUAAAACAUUUCCAUUUCACAUAAGUAUCAUACAAUUUUUCAAUUUAAAAUGAUAAAAAGAUAAAUUCCUACAAAAGACUCUUUGAAGGACCUAAAGGUCCUGAUACAUUGAUGAAGACCUUAAUCAAGUUUAACCCACAAAUAAUCACGAGCUGGUCAAACACCAUUGAUGCCUGUCAUCCAGUCCAAUGACGUCAUCAAUACAUAUCAAAGAGAUCUUUCUCUUCGAACUCCAAAAAUAAACUAGAUCACUAAUCAACACUAACGGUCCUUGUAUUAUAAUUAAUGUCUCUCACAAUCACGUUUUCCUUUUCUCAAUGAACUUCAACUUGAGGUCUUAGAAUCCUGCACUAACUGUUGUAAGGGGUGAAUCACUCGUACACAAGUUACCAUCGUGAUGAUGUCACAAGGCUACACAUAAUAUUAUACAUAUACAUUUAUUUAACUAGUAUAUAUACAUACCUGAGUAUCUAAUCAUGUAUUUACAUCAAAUAGAAUCAAGUAGUCAAAUAGUCACAAAAAUAUGAAUUGCACAAAACAUUAUAACAAUAUCACAAUUCAACAAUUAGUCAAAAACAAAGAUAAUCGAAUAUAUCCAAUAUAUCAAUCAUCAAAUAUAUCAAACAUCGAGAUUUAAUCAUUUAAAAUGUAUAUAAAAUCUAAUAAUAAUUCUUCACUCGAAGUUAGUCUUCUAAUUUGGUUAGUAUUAUUUUUAUUCAACCAACUCCAUGGAGACCUCUAUCAUGAGCGUAAGGCCGUUUCAACUGCCAUAACAUGGUCGUUUGCAAAUCAACAUAUAUCAAAUAUGUCUUAACCAUUAUGGCCCGAGCGCUACACCUUAUNNNNNNNNNNNNNNNNNNNCGUCGGGUUGUAUGAUUUCCUCCAGUCAGAGUGGCUA